Molecule: long non-coding RNA, 900 nt
Organism: Macrobrachium nipponense
Lineage: Eukaryota; Metazoa; Arthropoda; Malacostraca; Decapoda; Palaemonidae
Exons: 8
Source: RefSeq, a predicted model, not a curated record
GGACCCUCUGUAUCAGCCCGCCCACCUGUACAAUCAGACCCCUUUGAUAGUGACAGUGACCCAGAUGACCCUGAGCCUUUCCAUGGUUUUGAUGCCUCGCCCUAUACAUCAGAUGUAGAUGUUCCCUCAUCAGUUGAUACGAGUAUCACCUCUCCAGAGCCCAAAUCAGUUGAUACGAGUAGUAUCACCUCUCCCAUUCCUUCAGACUCCCAAGCACCUGCCCAUCCCACUCCAUAGCCCAGCCACCCACUCUCAUGUACCAUAUGGCCAUCCCAGUAAGCAAGCCAACCACUAGAAUUUGACUGGCAUGCACCUGUGACUUACAUAAACCAGACCUCUACAUAGCCUACAUGUCUUCAUUUUGCUGAAGACUGCCCAUCAUCCUAGCCUGUUAUCUGUGAUAAAGCACACUGAAGUUAGGUUUGGAAUGCAUCCUUAUCAUGAAUGCUCUACACCUCCACCUCCAUCUUCCACAACCUAGGUAACAGCUUUGAGACUCACUAAAAGUUGAACCCCCUGAAUGAUGUAGGCUAUGGGGCCACAUAAGACUUUGUCCAUCCAGGGUUACGUUGAAUGCCAAAUUUAAACUAAAGAACCAACAUUUUUCACACAACUCCAGGUUGUUACUACAAGUGUCAUCAAGGGAUAACUACAAGUAGAAGCACCAUUUUUGGAUGGAAAAAACCCUUCAGGAAAGUAUACGUAUCACAUGUAACAUGUAGUGUAACAAAGUAUGAACAGUAAGGUUUUUACAUACAGUAGUACAUAUUACAUACGUACAUAACUUUUUUUUACAGGAAUUUCCAACCAAGUUUGAUUAUGUACAUAUGUACAUGUUAUAAACCACUGUACGUAUGGUUACUGUAUGUAACUUACUAAACAUACAUAACAUGACUUAAC